Molecule: long non-coding RNA, 457 nt
Organism: Bubalus bubalis (water buffalo)
Lineage: Eukaryota; Metazoa; Chordata; Mammalia; Artiodactyla; Bovidae
Exons: 3
Source: RefSeq, a predicted model, not a curated record
CUCCCUCUCCUUGAAUAUAGGCUGGACUUCCUGACUCAUUUCAAAGAGUGACUUCCAAGGCUAGGUCACAAAGACCAUUGUUGCCCCGCUCUCUUUGAUGACUCACUCUGGGUGAAAUUAGCUGCCAUUUUGUGAGAACACUCAACAGCCCUGUGGAGAGGCCCAUGUGGGAAGAACUAAGUCCUCCCUCCAACAGCCAGCACCAACAUGCAGGCUCAUGGAAACCCCAGGAAAGGCUGUGCUCUUGAGCUUCUCUUCCCUCUCUGCCUCCUGACUGACACUGCUGCUUUCACCUGUAGCCCUUCGUGGCUCACUAUACCUUCUGCUUCUAGGGGCACUAAUCUGAAAUGGCUAGAAAAGGACAUCUGAGCACCAAAACCAGCAUCACAGUGUCUAUCUACACCAAGCACCUUACUCUUAGGUAAGCUUUCUGAGCCUUCACUCAUAGCCUUUUUAC